AAAAAAAAAAGCAAUUUAAUUUCUAUAGUUGAUACGCAUGACGUCAGCAAUGUCAAGGUCACGGGUUCGAUUCCAAAACACAUAUUGAUAAAAUGUGCACUUUAUGCACUGCAAGUUUCACUUUUGGAUAAAAGUCUGGCAAACGAAUAAAUGUACUUUGAAGGCACGAGCAGAUCCUCUCAGAACUAGACACGAGUCUAUAUCACACUGGCUCUCUCAGAGGGACGGAGACUGGACAGAAAGGCCCUCGCACCGAACCGCAGGACUCUGGUGUAGCUGCCCGGCUAACUGCGCCCUUGCCCCGGUGAAUAAACGGACAGCUCCGCGCUGAUACACUCACCAGAUAUAGAGGUGCAUAUAUCUUGAAGGAGACCUCCAG
Cyprinus carpio (common carp) is the source of this 379-nucleotide long non-coding RNA. RefSeq lists it as uncharacterized. The record is from RefSeq and is a predicted model, not a curated record. NCBI's taxonomy places the organism in Eukaryota, Metazoa, Chordata, Actinopteri, Cypriniformes, Cyprinidae. The transcript is spliced from 3 exons.